GUGAUCACUUAGAAAGCACAUAUUCUAACAUUGUAAUGAUACAGAGAACAUUAACAUGGCUCCUAGGCAAGGAUGACCUUCAAAUUAUUCAAGUGUUGUAUUUUUAA
This is a small nuclear RNA of Jaculus jaculus (lesser Egyptian jerboa), 107 nucleotides long. The record is from Ensembl. Lineage: Eukaryota; Metazoa; Chordata; Mammalia; Rodentia; Dipodidae.